GUAAUGGUGUCUUUAGACACCACCUUUUGAACUUCAAAUUUUUUU
This is a non-coding RNA of Picea glauca (white spruce), 45 nucleotides long. The record is from Rfam. Lineage: Eukaryota; Viridiplantae; Streptophyta; Pinopsida; Pinales; Pinaceae.